UUUUUAAAUUAAUGUGCAAAAUCUAAUUUUAAAAUACUUUAUUUUUAGUGUCGUUCCAGUUUGCGUCACAACCUUUCCGAUAUAUGGCUGCGCAGGUUUGCUGCAGUGAGUGUCUCACAAACCUGGGAAAUAUGAUUGCAAAAUGGCAAAUCUAUAAUCCCUAAUUUAAGUUCUGUCAAGAGGUAGAGCCCUGGAUAUAUUGUUUUUCCUAGUUUUGAAGUAGUUUUGUUUACAAUUGUUUCUCUCGUCUGCCAUCCCUACCUGCUUCCUGUGCUGCGUCCUCUCCAUAUUGUACUUACAAAUUCUUGGCCUUCUGUUAUGAGUGCCAGUUUUGCUUAAUUCAAUAGACGUAUGACACUGCCCCCUUGUGGCGCCACAUUACAUAACACGAUCGGACUUGAUAAGUAUAGAAGUGGAUUAAAGCACACCUUUAUAGUGCCGUAAUAGUAUGACGACUUGAUCUUUAGCAACUGCUAUGUAAAAGGCUACGGAAUUAGCAGCAAUACUUGAAAGUACACAUUUCAAGGGGGCUUAUUUCCUAUAAUUCUGUUAACGCUGCUUCAGUUGGUCUGUAAGAACCAAAAUUCAAUGUCCACAGUGAUCACUGUACAGAAAGCGGCAUCUCUGGGACAAACCCCUACCCUUUAUACAAUGUGCUCCCAUACCGGCCCUUUAAGGACUCAUUCUGCAGGGAUAGCGUAUAGCACAUUUUCUGAAAUUACCCUUAGGAGAAUGUAGUACUCUCAGAUAAUUUGUGCCUGGAUUUGCUGUUUCUACUGUUUGACAGGGUGACCACAACACUCUUAAUGGAUAAUGGGAGCAGUAGUCCACCUCAGUAACCUCUUUAACACGCCGGGGAGAGAAUACCAUGAAUGAAUUAUAAACAAGGCUAGAACAGGAUUUGCCUGCCCAAAAUUGUGUGUGUACAGGAAGUUUGAAUUGCUUUAUUUUCCUCUCUGUGUCGUAUAUCAGAUAUUUUAUUUGUGCAUAUGGCAAGCUGGUAAAAGUAGUGGAGAUUUUCCACCUCUAUAGCGAUGUUUUAAAAUCUAUUUCUGGCCAAACGCUGAGAAAGACUUUGAAUGUUUUUACAAGCAAAGAUCAGAGUGUUAGACAUUUUUAGUUUAAUCAAACCAUUAUAGUGUACUUAUUUUAAGUUAAAAUUGUGAAAAUACAUUUCAGGCUAGGGCUGCUGAAAAAAGCACCAUAUAAUGGGUUUAAAAUAUUAAAUUCCUUUCAGUGCUGCAGGCCAGUUUAUUAAUAUGCUAUUACCCCGAGUAUUAUUGAAGUAAACCGGUCUUUUUGAUAUGAAGUGGUGGUUAGAAUACAAUCUACAUGUUUGUUUGUUUUUGUCAUUCCUGUGCCCCCUAAUUUUGCAUGUGGUGUGUGAUUGCACAUCUUUGUUGGGAUUCUAUGUUUGGGGUGGGCAUCUUUGGAAGCAUUUAUAAUAUAUCACCUGUAUGACCACAUCAUUAAUUACAUUAAAGGGGAGCAGUAACUGCUUAAUAUCAUUGAAGUGGUUGUAGGGCUAAUUAAAGUGUCGAUUUUGCAACACACUUAAGAUACCUGUAUAAAUGAGAUUGCUACUUUACCUAGGCUCUCUUUUUGGAGGGAGAAGGAUUUAUACCCGCAUACUAAAGUUCUGGAAAAAGAUGCCCUUUUUUUCCCCUAUUAAUUAUUCAGUGUUUUGUUUUAUUUCUGUUGAUUCAGUGUAAAUUAGUAUUCUCCCUGACCCAGUAACCCACACUAUGGGUAUUCGAUGUAUAAAGAAUAAGACUUGUCUCCUGCCGUUUUGUGGGUUAUUUGACUCAUUAUCUUCAUUUUAAUCUCUGACCUGCAGGCAAAUGUUUUAUAAACAGUAGUCCCAUGAUGCCUUACUACUUUGCCACCCCUGAACCACACUGUAUAGCAAUAGAUGCAGGCUGUUUGUAAACCAUGACAAAGAAUAGCCUUUUAUGAUAUUCACAGCUGUUUUCUAAUAAAAGAAUUCAAGGCCUAGUUCGGUUCCUCUUAGUACAUUGCUAUCUCAUGCAGCAUUUGUUUUUAAAUAGUAAUGAUUGGAAGAAAACAAAAUCCUAUUUGCACUUAAUGUUACUUUUCUGCUCUUAUGACAUUUCUAUGCAAAAAAAUAGUUUUUCUGCAGUUAGAUCUGGUCUGAAGCAACUUUUCAGUGAAAAAGUCUAUUUUCAUAUUUAUGAAGUUCUAUCAAGUCUUAAACUGUCCAUUUUUGUAAAUAACUGAGCUGUAAUUAAUUCAAGGACUUUGUGAUGUAAUUACGUCUGAGAUUCUGUUUGUAACACUGCCAGUGAAUCUUGUUUUCUCUGACUUUUUUUCUUGUAUAUUUGCAUCAGUACCGGUCAAUGCGUUGAGAUUUUGCUAAUGAAUUGUUUCUUCACAGAAACCGUAUAUACACAGAUUUGGGGCUAAAUAUUUGACAUUUUUACUUUUUUGUGUAUAGUAAUUUCAUUCUUUCAGAUUAAAAGAUCUACAAUUA
Molecule: long non-coding RNA, 2491 nt
Organism: Pelobates fuscus (common spadefoot toad)
Lineage: Eukaryota; Metazoa; Chordata; Amphibia; Anura; Pelobatidae
Exons: 2
Source: RefSeq, a predicted model, not a curated record